Long non-coding RNA from Magnolia sinica, 1029 nucleotides. RefSeq lists it as uncharacterized. The transcript is spliced from 2 exons. Lineage: Eukaryota; Viridiplantae; Streptophyta; Magnoliopsida; Magnoliales; Magnoliaceae. The record is from RefSeq and is a predicted model, not a curated record.
CGGAGGGAAUCCAUGGGGAUUCGGUGAGAACUGUUGAAACAUUCUCAUGGCUAUAAGAGUUUUGUAUCAGCCUUUCUUUUUGGCGUUUUCACUUCAUCAUAUUGAGAAUGACCUUACGGUUUGGAUAGCAUAUAAACUCAGCCCCAGCUCUCUGCCUCAUCCAAAACCCUAACCUUACUUCCCCAAAAUCCUUCCGCCACAACGCCCUCUUGUUCAACCUCAUCAUCUCCAAGCUCUUCCCCGACAUGGAGCAGAUCCUCUUCUAGAUGAAGCAGUAGCAGCACCGUUUCGUCCCCAAAGAAUCCCUCUUCUGCCACGUCAUCUCCUCCUAUGGCUGCUCCUGCAUGCCCGGCCCCGUCCUCCUCACCUUCGACCAAAUCCCUUCCUUUGGCUUCCAAAGAAUAGUCACAUCUCUCAAUUUCCUUCUCAGUGCACUCUUGGGUUGUAGAGAAUUCAAAAAUUUUCAGGAAUUUUAUCUGCAUCUUGAUCGGGCUGCAGAGAAGAUGAAACCCAAGGAAUUGGAAUCUCAGGUCCCUGAGAAAGAUGUUUCCAAAGACAAGCAUUGAUUUAUCUUAGGCAGGUAGUUUGUAGUAUUAACUUGCUGCUUUGCUUGUAAAUCUUGAAACAUCACCUUGGUCUAGAGCAGAGGAAUUGUAGGAUCUUCAACGCGAGGCAAUUUCACAUCUUACUUGGGUUAUCAAUUAUGAUUUUUUUUUUUCCUUGAUUGGAAUAUCUUAGCCCCAGAAUCUUGGAUCUCCCUUUAGUCAAAUGUUGACUUUUGCUGAAUCCCUUUUCGUAGCCAUAAAUCUGUAGAUAAGAAAUUCAAAGGUUAUUGGCCAUGGUGGGGUCUUAUAUAAUUCCUCUUGGGAGCAAGGUUUCAAAUCUUGGACAUUGACUUGUCUGGAGCAUAUGAACAUUUCAUGGGGUGACAGUUUUCAACCAACAAGACCAUAUGGACUCUAUUUCCUCCAGUUGUUAACAUGUUAGUGCAGAAUCAUAUGAGUGAAUUAGAAGCUUGGUUUUCAAGGA